RNAcentral lists this long non-coding RNA (236 nucleotides) under Ananas comosus (pineapple). Its description in RNAcentral is "long non-coding RNA (ACOM_LNC043840)". Lineage: Eukaryota; Viridiplantae; Streptophyta; Magnoliopsida; Poales; Bromeliaceae. The record is from RNAcentral.
ACUUUCAAGAAUACAUGGUCUCCAAUCUGAAACUCCAAGUCUCGUCGACGCCGAUCAGCAUAACUUCUGCCUACUCUGGGACUGUCAACAAUCGCUCCCGAGCAAUGCGAACCUUGUUCUCAGCUUCCUGGAGUACAUCAGGGCCUAAAGCCAAUCUCUCGCCAACUUCACUCCAAUGAAGUGGCGAUUUACACUUCCGUCCAUAGAGUGCCUCGAACAGGUGCCAUCUUGAUGCU